GGGGAAUAUUGGACAAUGGGCGAAAGCCUGAUCCAGCCAUGCCGCGUGAGUGAUGAAGGCCUUAGGGUUGUAAAGCUCUUUCAGUAGGGAAGAUAAUGACGGUACCUACAGAAGAAGCCCCGGCUAACUUCGUGCCAGCAGCCGCGGUAAUACGAAGGGGGCUAGCGUUGUUCGGAUUUACUGGGCGUAAAGCGCACGUAGGCGGAUCGUUAAGUCGGGGGUGAAAUCCUGGAGCUCAACUCCAGAACUGCCUUCGAUACUGGCGAGCUUGAGACCGGAAGAGGUGAGUGGAACUCCUAGUGUAGAGGUGGAAUUCGUAGAUAUUAGGAAGAACACCAGUGGCGAAGGCGGCUCACUGGUCCGGUACUGACGCUGAGGUGCGAAAGCGUGGGGAGCAAAC
RNAcentral lists this ribosomal RNA (400 nucleotides) under uncultured bacterium. RNAcentral's name for it is "bacterial SSU rRNA". It matches the Rfam family "Bacterial small subunit ribosomal RNA", at positions 356 to 773 of the family's 1533-position model. The record is from RNAcentral.